CCAAUCUGGCAUCUAGGGCACACAUCUAACAAUCGGAUGCCAUCCCUCUUUACUGUGAUAAUAAUGGCAUCAUAGCCCUAGCUAAGGAGUCAAGAUUUCACCAGAAGUCUAAGCAUAUCGAGCGGCGAUUCCAUCAAUCCGUGAUUACCUCGAAAAGGGUUAUGUCGAGCUUAAAAGAGUCGACUCCACAGAUAAUGUGGCAGACCCACUGACAAAGCCAUUAGGCCAG
This 229-nucleotide long non-coding RNA is filed under the name Elaeis guineensis (African oil palm). Its description in RNAcentral is "long non-coding RNA (EGUI_LNC076869)". Lineage: Eukaryota; Viridiplantae; Streptophyta; Magnoliopsida; Arecales; Arecaceae. The record is from RNAcentral.